Non-coding RNA from Nematostella vectensis (starlet sea anemone), 74 nucleotides. The record is from Rfam. NCBI's taxonomy places the organism in Eukaryota, Metazoa, Cnidaria, Anthozoa, Actiniaria, Edwardsiidae.
GGCCUUGUGGCCCAAUGGAUUAUAGCGCCUGACUACGGAUCAGGAGAUUCCAGGUUCGAGUCCUGGCAGGGUCG